UUACCUGUGCUAGUGGUAUGAUUCUCGCUUAGGGUGCGAGAGGUCCCGGGAUCGAUCCCCGGCUCAG
Molecule: transfer RNA, 67 nt
Filed under: Caenorhabditis japonica
Lineage: Eukaryota; Metazoa; Nematoda; Chromadorea; Rhabditida; Rhabditidae
Description: tRNA CJA47881
Source: RNAcentral